AAGGGAGACCUAAUUCAGGUAGGAGACGAAAAAAAAGUAGUCGCUACCAAGAAUCAAUCCCAAAAGGUCGGAGCGAGGCGAAAUUGGCUUUCAAACUAGGUUCUGGGUUCACACAAGACCUGAAUCAGGAACAAGGGCUAUUAGCUCAGGUGGUUAGAGCGCACCCCUGAUAAGGGUGAGGUCCCUGGUUCGAGUCCAGGAUGGCCCACCUGUACAGGUGGCAAAAAGAAAGAAAAGAAGCGAGGAAUCAGCACCUUAUCUUACUGACAUAGUAAGAGAGAAUGCUGGCUCUGAGUAAAGAGUCCAGAGGAACCUUGAAAACUGUAUAGAGCUAGGUGAAAAAGCCAAAAAAGAAGACCGCAA
Molecule: transfer RNA, 363 nt
Filed under: uncultured Microcystis sp.
Lineage: Bacteria; Bacillati; Cyanobacteriota; Cyanophyceae; Chroococcales; Microcystaceae
Description: partial 16S-23S ribosomal RNA intergenic spacer
Rfam family: tRNA (bases 135-208)
Source: RNAcentral